CCUACGGGAGGCAGCAGUGGGGAAUAUUGGGCAAUGGGCGCAAGCCUUACCCAGCAAUACCGCGUGAGUGAAGAAGGUCUUCGGAUUGUAAAGCUCUUUGAUCAGGGACGAACAGAUGACGGUACCUGAAGAACAAGCCCCGGCUAACUACGUGCCAGCAGCCGCGGUAAUACGGAGGAUGCGAGCGUUAUCCGGAUUUAUUGGGUUUAAAGGGUGCGCAGGCGGCACGGCAAGCCGGCGGUCAAAUCGCAGGGCUCAACCCCGCCCAGCCGCCGGAA
RNAcentral lists this ribosomal RNA (278 nucleotides) under uncultured bacterium. Its description in RNAcentral is "partial 16S ribosomal RNA". It matches the Rfam family "Bacterial small subunit ribosomal RNA", at positions 338 to 632 of the family's 1533-position model. The record is from RNAcentral.